CAAGUAAUGCAGCAAAAAAAAAACAGAUCGCUCCCUAAAAUCUGAUUGGAUGUGGCCACAAUGGGGGUUGUUGCUACAAACUUUUGAGCUCUGUUUCCAUGGCGAUAAGCUCUGACAUCUCUGGUCCUGAUUGGGGUGGGGGAUUAUUUGGACGGAGGAACAUGUGCCCUCUUUCAGACCGUCCAGGUUAAAACCAAAACAAAAAUCCAGCCUCAUGCUUCUACAGGCGAAACUGGUGAACUCGUGUGACCUCGUCCUGGAGGGGCGGGGGAGCCGUUUAACCCACCCACGCACACACCACCCAUCCUCAGUGACGCAUCAGCCCAAAGGGAUAUUUCCUUUUAGAUAAUUGGACUCCAAUACCUGGAUAAUUAGGCGAGCGAGGGUUUGCGAUGGAGGCCGUCGCAGCAUCCUCGUUAAGCCUGCAGGUUCAUUUGAGUUCAGCUCAGAGACCAGCAGGGGUGCUAGACACAGGAGAGGGAGGGGGGAGCUGUGUUUGGAGAUGAAGAACUGAAAUGACCCCGACGUUGAGAAAAAGGCAGCGAUGGAGAAGAUCUGUUUGUGUCGGCUGUGUGAGCUCUCUGUUCAGGUUUGACAUCUCACACUUCCUCUACACACAGAUGCCUUUAGCAUUAAAGGCGGGUGAGUUUGGCGGCCGAUCACAUGAUGGUUACUAAACCAGGAACUGGUGCUUUCAGCCAUUAAGCUGUAAAAUAAAAGGAAGCAUGUUUGUUUAAUGAGGUACAAAAGUAUUUGUCAGUAAGCGAUUCUGCAAGUUAAAAAGUUGAGCAAGAAUUGUGUCCUUCACAAAACCCACUCCAUUGAAAAUUGUGGGUUUUUUGUAUUUUCUUGUAGGAUUUGCUCAUUGAGGACAUGUAUCAAGAAAAUUAAGAUUAAAAUUGUGUUUCUGAGUAUUUACUUAUUCAAAUUGUGGUGAAUCAAAAUCAGAUAAAAAAUGCUGUUUGUAAAAGCUUGUAGUUGUUAAGUACAAACUACAAUUGGCAAGUCACACGCUUCCUGUUUCCCUUCAUUUUGAUCAUCCACUUGCAGAAAAACAGAUCCAUGCGCGUCUUUGUUUUCCUCGUCUGAGCUGGAAUCUGGAUCAAAGCCGUACAGUUUGAUAGCUCUGAUCUACCCCACCAUUUCUGUUGCACCGGUAAUUUUAGGUUGGGGGUGUGAGGGGC
Molecule: long non-coding RNA, 1184 nt
Organism: Oryzias latipes (Japanese medaka)
Lineage: Eukaryota; Metazoa; Chordata; Actinopteri; Beloniformes; Adrianichthyidae
Source: RefSeq, a predicted model, not a curated record